UCAUCAUGUGAGCUGCUUCUCUCCACUAUACUCUUCCACCAUGAUGUCCUACCUCACCUUGAGCCCCAAGGAAUGGAGCCUGCUCUCUAUGGACUGAAACCUAUGAAACUGUUAGCUCCCAAAUGAACUUAUCCUGCUCUAUAAUUGUGCUGGUUGGGUCUUUUAGUCAGAGUGGCAAAAAAGCUGACUAAUACAGAAAUUGAUACCAAGAAGUGGUGUUGUUGCUGUGACUAACCUGACUGUGGUUCAAAGAUUUUUGAGCUUUUGGAAUUGUUGAGAGAAAUUUUGAGAUUUUUAGCAGUGCUAGCUGAAAAUGCUUUAGGUUGUUGUAAGCAGAGCUAAAUGGCAAAUUCUGGUGGGAGCUCAGAAAAUCAAAAUGCCAGUAGGACUGUGGACAGUGAAAACAGUGCUCAAGAGGAUCUAUAGGAAAAGUUAAUUGGACUAGAGGCCAUUCAUGUUAUGUUCUGGCUGAGAAGUUGUCUGUAUUUUGCCUGUGUCCUGAGACUUUUUUUUUUUUUUUUGAGGCUGACUUAAAAGUGAUGGAUUUCUUAAUCUGGCAGAGAAAUUUCUAGAUAGCUUAGCAUUCGGGCCAUGGCAUGGAUAUUGCUGACACCUUUUAGUCAAAUUAAUUGUGAUAUUCAGGAGAAGAAAGAGGAGCAGAAAUAUUUUAAAACUUGGACUGGAAAGGCAGGAGUAAAACUGUGGCUAAGGAAUUUGCAGUUGUUAAAGACAUUACUACCUCUAAAGAAAUGCUAAAGACUUUUUCCAGAGACUAGAAGAAAGAUGGCUUGAGGGCACCUCAGGAACUGGCAAGAUCACACCCACCUCAGGCUCAAGGGAGUAAAAGUGAAAAUUCUCUUGAGCCCAAAGGAGUAACCUUCUUGAGCAAGGGAACCUAGGAAGUUUCUUCAACAUUCUCAACUACUCAGGCCCUCAGAGGCUUCUGGCCAAGGGUCCCAGAAGGCUUGGCUGUGGCUUGAGAUGGCAGCAGACUUUGGCAUCAAAAACACAUGGUGCUGGUUCUGCAGGAAUGCAGGAAGCUGGAGUUAGGGGUUCAUGGAGGCUUCCACCAAGAUUUCAAAGAAGGCCUGGGAGGCCAAGCAAAGUAUAGGAGGGUCAGAGUUCGUGCAGGCAACCUCUGAGAGGGUGAUACAUGGAGAUGUGAGGAGAAAACCAAAACUGCAGAGGAGACCCCGAAGUUUAAGAAAUGCCAGUGCUAUGGAAUUCCCUCUAAGGAAGGCUGCAGGAAUUGAGUGAAGUUAAGCCAACAGAAAGGCUACUUGGGCUGCAACUAAUAAAGCCACAGGGGCAGAGAUACCCAAGUACUUUAGAGAGGACAUUAAGAUGUACUCUAGAUGCCAGACACAGAACACUAGAAUUUAUUUGCCCAGCUGAAUUUCAGUCUCACUUUGGUCUUAUCCCUUCUUUCUAAUGCCCCUAUUUUGCUGAAUGGAAAUGUUUACUCUGUAUCAUUAUAUAUUGGAUAUUUGUAAAUUGCUUUGAAUUUUACAGGAGCUUACAAUGUGAGAUUGCCCUGAGCCUCAGAGAAGAUUUUGGACUUGAACUUUGAGCAAUCUCGGAACUGUUGACUAUGGGGGCUCUUGGGAAUGGAUUAAAUAUAUCUUACAUUGUCAGAGUCCAGGAUAUAGGAGUGAAUGAAACAGCUCAUGGAGCCUGUAUUCUAGUAAGAGGAGACAGACAAAAGCCAAGUAAGUAAACAUACUAUACAUUAGAAGAGGUAAGUAAUAUAAAGAAAAUUAAAACAGCAAUAGAAGAAGGUGUUGGGGUAGGCUAGCCACCCAUAUAUAUCCACAUUCUGAUCCCUGGAACCUAUGAACAUGUUAUGUUGUGAAGCAAGGAGAAAUUAUGAUUGCAAAUGGAAUUAAGGCUACUAAUAAGCUGUUCCUAAAGUAAGAAAAUAAUCCUGGAUUAUCCAAGUAGCCCAGCAUAAAACAAGGGCCCUUUAAAUAUAGACAGGGAACUGGAGAGUCAAUGUCAAAGUAACUCUGUGAGAAAAGUUCAACUCCUUGUUCAUGGCUGUGAAGAUAGAGGCAGAAAGCCAUAAGCCAAGAAAUGUGAAUAGUCACUAGAAAAUGAAAAAGGCAAGGAAAUAUCCAUUCUCUUCUCCAGCCUCAGGAAGGAAACAGGCCUGCUGAUGCCUGCAUUUUAAUCUAGUGAAAUCCACAUCAGACUUUAACCUCUAGAACUAUAAGAUAAUAAAUUAAGAUUGUUUUAAACCAUUAAAUUUCUGGUAAUUUAUUAGAGCAUCAAUAGGAAACUGUACUAGGAUUCUGCAGAGAAAGAAAGUCAAUAGGAUAUGUAUGUGUAAAGAUUUAUUAUAAGGACUUGGCUCACAUGAUUGGAGGCUAAGAAUUCCCAAGGUCUGCAGUUGAGAAGCUGGGAACCCACAGGAGCUAGUAGUGUUCCAAUAUGAGUCUAAAGACCUGAGAAGCAGGAAAACUGAUGGUAUAAGUUCCAGUCCAAACGUUGGUAGCUUCAAGACCCAAGAAGAGCCAGUAAUUUUUUUUUUUUCACAUCCGAAGGCAGGGAAAUGCUGGCGUUUUAGCUUACAGCAGUCAGGCAGGAGGAGUUCCCUCUUAUGAACAAGGUCACCCUUUCUGUUCUAUGCGUGUCUUCAGCUGUUUGGAUGAGGCCCACCCACAUUAGGGAAGGCUAUCUGCUUUUCUCAGUCUACCAAUUAAAACAUUAUUCUCAUCCAUAAACACCCUCACAGACACACCUAAAAUGAUGUUUGAACAAAUAUCUGAGCACCUUGUGACCCAACCACAUUGAAACAUAAAAUUAAUCAUCACAGAAACUUUUAUUAAGGAGAUCAGAGGUAGCUUCCAUUAUAGGAUCAAAUUUGAACAAAUACUGGAAUAAAUAAGAGAAGGAGCCAUGUAUAUAUCCAGGGAAAAUUUUCUAGGUAGAAGAGAGAGCAACUACAAGGCUCUAAGUUGGGAGAGUUUUGAAAUAUUAGAGGAGCAACAGCAAAGUCAGCCAGCAUAACUAGACUGUAACCAAAAGUAGUGAGAGAAAUAAGAGGUAAGGUGGAGUGAUGAGGUAAAGAAGUAGUGGAAAGGAAAGACUGGGGCCCUUUAGCCAAUUGUAAAGAUGUUGAUGUAGUUUCCAGUAAGAUGGGAAAACCACUACAGAGUUUUAAGCAGUGGAAUGAUGUGAUCAGACUUACUUUUUGAAAAAGAUCAAAGCCAAAGAAUAGAGUAUUUGUAGAUAAGAGUAAAUGUUGGAUGACCAGUGAGGAGGUUAUUAUGGUAAUAAGUGAAAAAUGAUGAUGAUUUGGAAGCAGUGGAGAUUAUGAGAAGGGAUAGGUUUCUGGCUAAGUUUCUAAGAGCCAUCAUAUUUUCUUUUUGAAGAGUAUAAAGAAUCAGAUAACACCAAGGUUUUGGGCUUAAGCAACUGGGUUAAUAGAGGUGCCAGAGACUUGAGGAUGCUGAGGGAGAACGUAGCUUGAGAAAGAGUUGGGAGUUUUGGUAUCUCGCAGUAAGCUUGAGAUGCCUAUGAAUACAAUUGUGUCUGCAUACUCAGUAUUAAUCUUGAAUUCAGGAAGGAUUGAUUGAGCCUAGAUAUUCAAGUUUAGUUUAACAUUGGAUGAGAACAACUUAAGAGUGAGUACAGGUAGACAAAAUAAUUAGGCUGUUAUUUUUAAAAGUAUUUGAAAGCCAGCUAUUGCAGGGAGGAAAUGAUUUGCCAAAGUAUUAUAAUAAAUGGCUGUAGUUGUGGAAUUUUAGACCCCUGUAAGGAAAAAUGUAUUCUCAUUUCUGUAAAAGUGUGAAGGGCAGUGUUUCCUUAAGUCUACUUUCAGCUCCAUAUAUGUCUGUAAUGCUGAAUGCCUACAACAAUAAUCACAGCUAAUAUUUACAGAUCUGUUAAUAUGUAUCAGGCACAGGACCUAAAUAUUACUUACAUAUACUAAUUUACUUAAAUGUCAUAGCAGCCCUAUGAAGUAGGUAAUGUUAUCACCAUUUUGCAUGAAAAAAUGGAAUAAUUUUCACAAUAAUCAAACUUCCCUAAAAACAUUGUAAAUGUAUUUUAUAAUUUUCAAAUAUAUAUUUUUUGUUCUCAACAGUCUUGUGAGAUGGAUAGGGAAGGUAGUAGUACAAUUUUAUAGAUAAGAUCAAUGAGUGACAGUGAGGUUGUAAUAUAUCCAAAGUCACAAAGCUAGUGAAGAGUGUAGCUGGAACUCACACCCAAUUCUACUGAUUUCAAGCCAACUUUGUUUAAUUUGCACUGUCCAAUAGAAUUUCCUGUGAUGAUAGAAAUGUUCUAUAUCUGUUCUCUUCAAUAUGGUAGUCACUCAACACGUGGAUAUGCAACACUUGAAAUGUGGCUAGUGAAACCAAGCAACUAAUUGUUUGUCAUUAAAUUUGAAUGUAGAUAUAGCCAUUGUGACAAGUAAAUAAUAUAUUGGACUGUACAGCUUAAAAAUAUUUAUAAAUCAUUAACAAAGUAAGAUUAUAGGAAAUAUUACUAGGGUAUCCCUUUAUCACUACAUCAAAGAUGGACCCUGAUGACUUUUUCCAUCUGUAUCAAAAAUAGUUAAUCUUAUAGUUAAUCUUAUAUUAUAUUAUUUCAAAAUAUAGAAAAAGAUGGUAUACUCUCCAGUUUGAUGAGAUAAAAUAAAGUCUUUAUCCUGAAACCCCAAAAUAACUUCAUAACAAAUUAAAAUUUUCAGGCUGAUCAUAAUUUAUGAAUAUUUGGCAAACCACAUAUUAAAAGGAUUCAACACAAUCAUCAAAUAAAAUUAUCAGCUUGAAAUUGUUACAACAGAAUGAUUAUUUGAAUACAUAAAAUAAUCUUUGGUAUAUAGAAAAAAAAUGAAAACUAAAAGUACAAUAUAUGAUACACACAGAAUUUAUAUAAACCACCAAUGUUUACUCUAGCCCUAUUAAGCAUUUGCAUGGCCUCCUCCCCUCAAGUCUAGAAUGGUUCUAGCAACUUUCUUUUAACAAAUACAAUUUGGCAAAAAUGACAGGAUGUUACUUCUGAGAUUAAGAUACAAAAACUGACUUCUGCCUUGUUCUCUUUCUCACAUGUUUAUACUGAAGAACUGAGGGUGACUUCUGGUCAACAGCUAGGAAGAAACUGAGACCUCACAAAGUUGUCGAGUCCUUCCAACAACCACAUGAGUGAGCUUGGAAGCAGAUCCUUUCUUAGCAUAGCUUUCAAAUGAAACUACAGCCCCAGCCAACAUCAUGAUUUCCAGCUUAUAAGACACCUGAAGGCAGAGACAUUCAUCUGAGCCAUAAUUAGUUUCUUUACCUAUAGAAACUGUGAGAUAAUAAAUACUUAUUGUUUUAAGCCCUUAA
Non-coding RNA from Ictidomys tridecemlineatus (thirteen-lined ground squirrel), 5327 nucleotides. NCBI's taxonomy places the organism in Eukaryota, Metazoa, Chordata, Mammalia, Rodentia, Sciuridae. The record is from RefSeq and is a predicted model, not a curated record.